UACGUAGGGGGCUAGCGUUGUCCGGAUUUAUUGGGCGUAAAGAGCGUGUAGGCGGCCAGGUAGGUCUGCUGUGAAAACUCGAGGCUCAACCUCGAGACGUCGGCGGAAACCAUCUGGCUAGAGUCCGGAAGAGGAGAGUGGAAUUCCUGGUGUAGCGGUGAAAUGCGCAGAUAUCAGGAAGAACACCAGUGGCGAAGGCGACUUACUGGACGACUGUUGACGCUGAGGUGCGAAAGCGUGGGGAGCAAACAGG
Molecule: ribosomal RNA, 253 nt
Filed under: uncultured bacterium
Lineage: Bacteria
Description: partial 16S ribosomal RNA
Rfam family: Bacterial small subunit ribosomal RNA
Source: RNAcentral